GGAUAUGAGGGCAAUCUGCCUCCCCACUGAUCACUAGGUUUGGCUAGGCUGAUGUGGCAGUUAGGUGGGUGUUCCCAUCCCUCUUCACCACUCCAUGUGUGUCCCUCCCAAAGCUAUGUUCUAGGUCAAAGAGGAUGACCUUCUCCAAAUAGAGAUAUACUGGUCUUUAGUUGAGGGUAUACAAGUAGCAGCAUUCUCAUGUUAAAACCUCCAAACAAGCUCUCUAGAAUGUUAUCCCUAAAGGAUGAGAAGAUAAAAAAUAAUUAAGCUGAAUCUAACUUUUGGAUCUAAUUUGUAGGUUAAAAGAAAU
This 310-nucleotide small nuclear RNA is filed under the name Erinaceus europaeus (western European hedgehog). RNAcentral describes it as "7SK RNA". It matches the Rfam family "7SK RNA". From Rfam's summary of the family: 7SK was discovered as an abundant small nuclear RNA in the mid-70s but a possible function has only recently been suggested. Two independent studies have found that 7SK RNA binds the CDK9/cyclin T complex (known as elongation factor P-TEFb). Lineage: Eukaryota; Metazoa; Chordata; Mammalia; Eulipotyphla; Erinaceidae. The record is from Rfam by way of RNAcentral.